RNAcentral lists this unclassified non-coding RNA (25449 nucleotides) under Leishmania donovani. RNAcentral describes it as "gene:LdHU3.27.0640(CDS-product:calpain-like_cyste ine_peptidase_putative)". Lineage: Eukaryota; Euglenozoa; Kinetoplastea; Trypanosomatida; Trypanosomatidae. The record is from RNAcentral.
UCCAAGUCCCACCAUUUUCUGUUCUUGCCGUUCCUCCUUUACCUGUGCGCUUGUGUGCGUGGUGGAUUCUUCGAUUGAUUUAUUCGAACUAGGGAACACCGUCAACAUCUCGUGUCUCUCACUCGCCCCCCUCCUCUCUCUCUCACUCCGCAUUGGCGCGUCGGUGCUGUUUGGGUUGUGGUGCGCCUCAUUGCAAGCCCUUCCUCGACCCCCGUACGUGUGCAAGAGGCGCAACGCAUUGCCGCUCGAGAAAGCAUACUGGGCAAGGCACGUGUCGCUCAAACAGUGCAGAGGUGCCGUUCGAAAAAAAAAACAAGGGAAAAAUACAACAAAAACAGACGGAGGAAGAGAAGGCGGCGUGCCAAACGAGGGUGGCUUGAGCUCUGCUUUUUUUUUCUCGGCUUUCGGUUCUGUGGCACUCGUGCUGUUCCCCUCAGCGUCUGUGUUGCCCACGUUCCACGCCCCUCAUCCACAUUCUACGCCUGUCUGUCUCUGCUUUGCCGAAACCCAUCAAUACACAGCGCUCUCUUUUCGGUCACGCAUUCUCUCACUUUCUCACCCAACCUGCGCCGUGUCUGUACGCUGGACGCCCGCCCUCGCCCAUUCAUCUUCCGCACAGGCGACGCCGCUUGUUUUUUUUCUCUAUCCCUUUCCACGCCGCAGUGCGCGUUCGCCUCCCUUCAUAGUCUCUCUCUGUGUUUGUGCGGCUUUCGACUGUCCCUGUGAUCAGGUACGUGCGCGCCUCUGCGUGACUUAGCCACGGUUUCGAGCGCGUUCCCAAGAGGCCACGGUUUUCCCCCUCAACUGUGUCGCCUUUUUCGCCGCGCCGCCUUUUCAUCCUUCGCCGUCUUAUCCCGCACGCCUUUCCUCACCGCCACACCACCCCCUCCCUGUCCCCUCUCCGUCCCCUCCCUUUUUUUAGCGUGUUCGCUGGUCUCCGUUACAUUGAGGUGCGACUGCUACGGUUGUCCUUAUCUAAGAAAGGACCUGCAUACAGCGUUACCCGAAACGCGACGGAGGAGCGCAUCCGAUUAUUAUUUUUUUGUUUCCUGUCUCGGGUCUCACGAAACGCAUCCAUCGACACCACCGUGUGCAGACCCUUGGCACACCCCCUCCCUCCCUCCCUCCCUCCCUGUGUGUUCCACUCUGGCCUUUCGUGUCUUCGGUCACUGGCUUCGCCCCCUUCCGCUCUUGAACCCGCCCCACCCCAUCUUCGACAAUCCUCUCUGUUCUGCAUUGUCUCUCGUGCCUCUCUACGUUUGCGCGGGUGCGUGCCUCAGCCGGUCUCUGCAGCCGAAUUGCGCCAUGUCCGUCGAGGAAGUUCCUGACAGCAACAAGCUGUUUUCCGACGCCGUGUUCGACCGCGAGAACGCGCACAUUGCCAGGGAAUGGCAGCGCAUUACGGAGGUGUACCCAGCUGGUGUGAACCAGCCGCUGCUGCCCGAAGUAUUCUCGCGCGAGCAGUUCGGCCAGGGCAACCACUAUGAAUGCUUCAUGCUCUCGGCACUUGCAACGCUGAUCCGCUUCCCGGAUGUGAUCCGCAACUGCUUUGUGACGAAGAAGGUGCGCCAGGAUGGCCGCUACACGUUCCAGUUCUUCCGCGGGCAGGAGUGGGUAAAGGUCGAGAUCGACGACCGCAUCGCCAUGGAAGAAGGCGAGGUGCUCUAUGCUCGCUCCCCGACUGAGCACUGGUGGCCGCUGCUGCUGGAGAAGGCGUACGCGAAGUUCUACACCGCCUACGACCACCUCGAGGGCUGCACGUUGCAGGAGACAUUCCACGACCUGACAGGCAACCCGGUGCUGAACAUCCCCAUGGACGCCAAGCUGGCCAAGGCGGCCGGCGCCGAGGUGACUGAGGGUUUCUACUGGCUGGUCUUGGCACAGCGCAUCCAGUCUGGACAAUUCAUCGCCUCCGUGCUCACCAAAGACAUCGAGCUUGAGACAAUGGGUCUGCAGCGCGAGCAACAGUACGGGGUGCUCGAGAUUUUCUCACUGACUGGCACCUCCUCCAUCAACGACAUCGUUAUUCAUCUGCACAACCCCUUCGAGGACGAGGAGUACGUCUACAAGGGACCGCUGAACUCGAAGGAUACUACCUGGGAUGUGAAACAGCGCGCCAAACAUGACGUCGACGACGAGCGCUCCAUUUUCCUGCCGCUGAACACCUUUCUCAAGAUCAUGAACUCCGUGCAGUUGUGCUACAUGUCCCCGGUGGAGGCGGACGCGACGUACUUCCACGACGAGUGGAAGGGUGAGUCGGCCGGCGGCAACCCGACGAGUGUGUCGUGGCGCAAGAACCCGCUCUACUUCGUCCGCAACAGCGGCAGUACGGCGUUUGAGAUCGUUGUGGUGAUCAAGCAGGAGGACCAGCGUCGAUUCACUUCCCCAGAUGAGAUGACCAAGUAUCUCCAGUGUGGCAUGGUGCUGAUCCACUACUCCUAUGCCAACCCGAUCCCGACCUUCUGGGUCACCGGUAACAACCACAAGCCAUUCACAAGAGCCUCUUCCUCAACUCGCGCGAGGUGGCGAAUGCCAUGACGAUUCCCCCCAACUCGUUGUGUUAUCUCGUCUCCUCCUGCAUGCACAAGGGCGCUGACGGCCCUUUCACCCUCGCCCUGUACCGCAUGAAGGGUGUCGAUUACAGUGACUUGACCAUCAACAAACUGGCCAUUCCCCGCAUGAACUGGGCCAACUCCGCCACCAAGAACGUAGAGCUGUGCCAGAAAGAAAAGGACCGUGUUGACUUCUACGUCGAUGAAGGGACCGAUAUUCACAUCCUCAUGCACCAAACAAAGCCCUACGUCAGCAAGUCCGGCGGUGACGCCAUGACGGAGGACUACAUGGGCAUGUACCUCUACGACGACACGGACCGCAAGAUAGCCGGUGUGCACGCUGCCACGAACUUCCGCGAGAUCAGCAUCAUCCACCGCCUCCCCCGCAGCGGUCGCUAUGCCAUCUCCAUCACGUGCCCGCGUGCGAAGGGCGAGGUGCCGGCUUACAUUACCAUCGUUGGCUCGCACGCCUCGAACGUACGCAUCGUCGACCCACCAGAGGAUGCCACGAUGUUCGACGAUGAGGACAUCAUCGACGAAGGCGAAGACGCCGCCCUCGUGCACAACCCGAUCGACUACGUCCCCGUCGUAUUCGAUGUGGCGCACCACGACGAGCAGGCCGAAAGCGAUUCCCCGUUCGAGGACAAGCGCUUCUACGUGGACAACCGUGGUGCCACGAGCGAGCCAUGGGUGCACAUCGGCGACCUUUACCCCGAAGGCAAGACGAGGCCGCUGCUGCCGAACGAGCUGAGCCGCGACCAAUUCGGGCAGGGCGACCACUACGACUGCAGUACGCUGACGGCGUUCGCGGCACUGAUGGAACACCACCCCGACGUGAUCCGCAACUGCUUCAUCUCGAAGAACCCGCGCAAGGAUGGCCGCUACACGUUCCAGUUCCACCGCUACGGGCAGUGGAUCAAGGUGGAGAUCGACGACCGCAUUCCGAUGGUGAAGGGCGACACGGUGUUUUGCCGCUCGCCGACGCACCACUGGUGGCCGCUGCUGCUGGAGAAGGCGUACGCGAAGUUCUACACGCUUUACCAAAACCUCGAGGACAUUUCUGAGGGCGAGGUCUUCCACGACUUCAGUGGGUGCCCUGUUAUCUUCAUCCCCAUGGAGGCAGACAAGGCCAAGGUGGUCAACUACGACAUCCAGAGCGCGCAGUUCUGGCGCGACCUGAACAACGAGCUGGAUCAGACAGCGCUGGCUGCGUUGGCGCUGGGUGAGCAGGCGGAACAGUACGGUCUGCAUCACGAGGGCAGCUACGCGGUGCUGGGCUUCAUCGAGACACGCAACGCCAUCAACCUCACCCCUGCGGAUGUGCUUGUGAAGAUGUACAACCCGUAUGAGGACUCGCCGUACACGGGUCCGAUGCACAGAGACGACUCAAGCUGGACGUCGGAGAUGCGGUCGAUUUGCAACCCAGCGCAGCGCAACAUUUUCUACAUUCCUGCGAAUGUCUUUCUUGACGUGUUCGCGAAUGUGCAGCAGGCCUACAUCAAGGCACCACUGCACCCGAGCUACAACUUCAACAGUGAGUGGGGCGACACGACCAGCGGAGGCAAUGUUUCGCUCGUCACGUGGCGCGCGAAUCCGCUCUACGUGGUGCGAAACAAGGCGGAGGAGCCGGUGCAGAUCAUUGGCAUGAUUCGUCAGCCGGAUCAACGACACUUGCUGCAUCGCCAGACAAAUCACGAGUUGAACUAUAUACAGUGUGCUCUUGUCGUGGCGGAAAGCAUCAGUGCGGAACGCAUCCCGACGUACCUGGUUACCGGGAACAACCACCGCCGCCUGCGCUCUGGCCUGUAUUUGCACAACCGUGAGGUGGCGGAUGUGAUGACAAUCCCUGCCGACUCGCUGUGCUACAUCAUCCCCACCGGCAUGCGGCGCGACAGGGGUAAGUUCAUCUUCUCAUACUGGUUCCUGCGCAAGGGCGACAAAGAUAAGUUGGACAUCGAGCGUCUCAACACGGACGUGGCACGCCAGCUACCGGCCAUCGCGCAUCUGGACCUGAUGAACAGGGGCCAUGCGCGCGUGGACAUCCUGGUUGAUGUACCGACCGAUCUCCACAUCCUGCUAAAGCAGGAGAAGCCGUUCAAGCACGCGAGUGGCGGUGACGCGAUCGCGCAGGACUUCCUCUCCAUGUAUCUCUAUGACGCAAAUGACAAGCGCAUCAGCCCAAGCACGCAGGCGACGAACAAUCGCGAGAUCGGCCUCGUGCAGCACGUGAGCAAACCGGGCCGCUACGCCAUUGGCGUGAACUGCACCUCUGGCACGGGAGAUGUGCCGUGCAAGGUGGAAAUUGUCGCGCAGGAGCGCGCACACGUGCGUAUAACCGAGGCCCCUGAUAACGCACGCGAGCUCGGCGAGCUGGACCUCUCCUUCCUCGAACCCGAGCCGGAGGGGGUGCCGCUGGCGGACCUCCCGCUUGAAGAGGACCUGAAGUUUCAGGAGCAGCUGGACGCGCUGAAGCGUCUCCAUCACAAGCCCCACAGGAACGAGGACGAGAUUCUGGCGCUCGAGCGAAAGAUGAACGCCCGCGCGCACGAGCUAGCGAGGGCCUUGCUGGGCAAGGACCGGUGUAAGUAUCUGACUGGGCAAGACAUCGAGAAACUGGCGCCACUGUUGGACAGUGACCCGGAGUACAUGAACGCGGAGCGCGAGCGCCACAACCUCAAGAAGGACCCGCGUAACGCCGGCAAGGUGCGCGCUCUCGAGGAGGAGCUGCGCGACCGCGCCGCUGCCCUGGCCGACACGUCCGCCGGCAUAGACUUGGGCUUCAUGGAUCUCGAAUACGAGGGUAUCCCACGGGACGACAUCGAACUGCUGAGCGACCCUGCCUUCGAGGAAAUGGCGCAGGCGCGCGCUAGCCUGCUGAGCGACCCUGCCGCCAACGCGCGCAAGAUCAACGACAUGGAGGACAAAAUGCACGACCGCGCUACCGAGAUGGCGAGGGACAUGCACAAGAAGGAGCGCACGUACCUCGACCCCGAGCCAGAGGGCGUGCCGCUGGACCUGCUGCCUCUGAACGAGGACGAGGCGUUCAGCCGCAUGGAGGACGAGCUGCGCGCUCUCAACCGCAAGCCAAAGCGCGACGCGAAGGCGAUCAAGGACCUGCAGCGAACGCUCAACGACCGAGCGCAUGAGCUGGCUUCUGUGCUAAAGAGCGACGAACGCGAGCUGUUCCUGGACCCCGUGCCGCUUGGUAUUCCGGUGGCCGAUCUCCCGCUCGACACCGACCCGGAGUUCCACUUGAAGGAGAUUGAGCGUCUGCAGCUGCGCAAGGAGGACCCUUUGGGCAACCGCGACGACAUCAAGACGCUCGAGGAUGAACUGAAUGAUCGAGCUCGGGAGUUGGCUAAGGACCAGCAGGCGAAUCAGCGCGCCUUUCUGGACCAAGACCCAUACGGUGUGCCGCUGGAGAAGCUGUGUCUGGAUUACAACGACGACUUCCUGCGGAAGGAGAGCGAGCUGCGUGCGCUGCAGAAGAACCCGCGCUGCAGUGCCACGGCAAUCGCCGAUCUGAAGGCCGACAUGAGUGAGAUGGUGGACGCCCUGGCGGCCGCCGAGGCGGCGCGCGACCGCAAUUUCCUCGACCUCGAAGUGGAAGGUCGCCUUGUGCAUCUGCUCCCGCUAUUGGAAAACCCGGAGUUCAAGGAACUCGAUACGAAGCGCCGCCGUGUGCUGAACCGUGGCGGCGACACGAGCAAGGUGCCGGAUAUGGAGGACCGUAUGAACGAUGUUGCGCUCGAGAUCGCGCACGACAUGAACGUCGCCGAGCGACCAGACUACAUGGACACCACGUACAAGGGUAUCCCGGUGGAGGAUCUGCCGUUGGACGAGGAUCCGCUGUUUCGUUCGUUGGAGGUGAAGCGGCAGCAGCAGAAGCAGGACCCGCGCCGCAACGCGCGCGGCAUCGCCGACACGGAGCAGGAGCUGAACGACCGCGCAAUGGAGCUGGCGGCAGAAAAGCUCAAGGGCGACCGCAACUAUCUCGAUCCCGAGCCGGAGGGCGUGCCACUGCGUCUAGUCCCACUGGACAGCGAUGCUGCCUUCGCCGAGAUGGAGGCGCAGCGCGCGAAGCUGAAGAAGGACAUGCGCCGCAACACGAAGCCGAUCGCGGAAAUUGAGAACCUGCUCAACGACCGCGCGCACGAGCUCGCCAAGUCUCUAAAGGAGAAGGAGCGACCCAAGUUCCUGGACGCCAGAUUUAGCGGCAUUCCGUACACGGAGCUCCCGCUGGACGCAGACCAGCCGUUUCGCGACAUGGAGGUGCAGCGCCUGUUGCUGAAGGAGCAGCCGCAUAAGAACGCCACGGCGAUCCAGGAUCUUGAGGAGGCGCUCAACGACCGUGCCGGUGAACUCGCCAAGGAGAAGCUCGCCAAAGAACGCGCCUUCCUCGACCCGUGCCCGCUCGGCAUCCCGCUGGAGGAGCUGCCGCUGGACAGCACACCGGCCUUCAUCGCUAAGGAAGAGCGCCUGCGCGCCCUCAAUAAGGAUCCUUACAAAAACGCCACGGCGAUCAAAAUGCUACAGGGCGAAAUGGACGACAUGGUGAACGCGCUGGCGGCCGAGGAGCUGGCAAGGAUGCGCGGCUUCCUUGACCCGGAGCCGGAGGGCCGUCUGGUGGAGAGCCUGCCGCUGAACGACGACCCGCAGUUCCACAAGCUGGAGGCGCAGUACCGUGAUCUGAAAAAGAGCCCGAAGGCUAACCCGCAGGACGUGGCAGACUGCGAAGAGCUGAUGAACGACCGGGCGCACGAGCUGGCCAAGGACAUGAACCGCGAGGAGCGCCCCGACUUCAUGAACAUGACUCCGAGGGGCGUGCCGCUCGAGGAGCUGCCGCUCGACACGGACGAUGAGUUCAGCAAUCUGGAAGCGCAGCGCGCGCGCCUGAUGCGGCAGCCCGCGAAGAACAAGAAGGCAAUCGACGAAAUCGAGUACGCCCUCAACCUGCGCGCCGAGGAGCUGGCGCAGGAGAAGAUUCAGGCCGACCGCGCCUUCAUGGACGAGGCGCCGCAGAACAUCCCGCUCAAGUACAUUCCGCUGGACAAGGACAAGGAGUUUGGCAGAAUGGAGGCGCAGCGCAUGGCGCUCCGUGCGCAGAGCCAGAACGCGCGUGCGCUGAUUCCGAAGUUGCGUGAACUUGAGGACGCGAUGAACCAGCACGCGAACGAUAUGGCCAAGGCGCUGAAACAGCAGGUGCGCGCAAGCGUGCUGCCGCCGCGCAUUGGCGGCAUUGCGCGAGAGGCACUGCAGCUCGACGACGAUGUGCCGUUCACAGAUUUGGAAGUGGCUCAGAUCGCCGCCAACGGUGACGGUGAUCUCGACAAAGGGCGCGACCUUGGCGACGCCAUGCAGAAGCGCGCCGCCGACGUCGCGGCGAAGCUGCGGUGGGAGGAGCGUGCCAAUCUCGGCAACCCGCUCGGCUUCUCGCCGGAGGACUUACCGCUGGAAAGGAGCCCCGAGUACCUGCAGAAGGAGUCAGCACUGGUGGAGAUGCGCGCGAACCCGAAGAAGAACGCGCAGAGCAUCAAGAGCGCGGAGGAGGACCUGCACGCCUUGGCGAUGGAGAUGGCCAAGGAGAAGGCCGCUGAGGAGCGCGAGGAUUACAUCGACCCGGAGCCGGAGGGUCGCAAGCUGAACGACCUCGGCCUCGACGACGAUCCGACGUUUGUCGGCAUCGAGGAGCAGUACCGCAGGUCAAGGAAGGACCCUUACGCCGACCAGGACCGGCUGCGCGACCUGGAGCAGAUGAUGAACGACCGUGCACACGACCUGGCCAAAAUGAAGAACGCGCGGGACCGGGACAUGUACCUCGACAGAGCCCCGCGCAACGUGCCGAUUGUGGAGCUGCCGCUCGACACGGAUGAGGAGUUUGGCCGGCUGGAGGCGCAGCGCGCGAAGCUGUGCCAGAACCCGGUGCGCAACGCGCAAUCCAUCCGAGAAACCGAGGACGCCCUGAACGACCGAGCCGACGUGCUGGCGGCCGAGGCACUGAAGAACGACCGAAUCUUCCUGGAGGCCGAGCCGGAGGGUGUGUCGCAGCGCCAGCUGCCGCUGGAUCUGGACCAGACCUUCCGUUCCCUCGAGCUGAAGCGCGCGGCUCUGAAAAGCGCCCCGAUCAAGGACGACCGUGCCAUUCGCGCGGUGGAGGAGCAGAUGAACGAUCACCUGCGCAAAAUGGCGAGGGAGGUGAAGAUGGAUGCCCGGCGCGACAUGGAGCCGAACUCGCUUGGCAUUCCGUCGGAGGACCUGAACCCGUACCUCGACGAGGACCCGCACUUCCACGAGCUGGAGGACAUGUACCGCGACGCGAAGAACAACCCUACAAAGGCGAAGAAAGCGUCGCAGUUGCUUGACCAGAUGAACGAGCGCGCGAGGGAGAUUGCGCAGGCGGUGCACGACAUGGAGCGACUCCCGCUGAACCAGGCCCCGAACGGAAUUCCGCUGGAGACGUUGCCGCUCAAUGAAGACCCCGUCUUCAACGCCCUCGAGAAUGAGGCGCGCGCGUUGCGCAAGGGGCCAAGCGGCGGAAAGAAGAGCGCCGAGAGGCUUGCCGACGUCGAAGAUCGCUUGAACGCGCGCGCCGAAGAGCUGGCAAACGCGGCCCGCAAGCAGUAUGUGGAUGCCAUGCCGGAGGGUGUGCCGAUGGAGCUGCUCAAGCUCGGCGACGACCCCUCCUUCGUAAACGCCGAGGCGGAGCUGCGGCGGCUUGAGAAGAACCCCGUGGCGAAUCGCCAGGGCAUCAAGGACCUCAAGGACGAGCUCAACUUUAUGGCCCAUGAAAAGGUGAAACGACUAUUGCGGGGUGACCGCGGCUAUCUCCACCAGACGCCGGACGGGGUGGACCUCUGCCACCUCCCGCUGGACACGGACCCCGUGUUCCACGAGCUGGAGACGCGGCGUGCGAAGCUGAAGUCCGAGGACCCGCGCGCCCACCAAAAGGCGAUUGCCGCACUCGAAGACCAGCUCAACGACCGCGCUCACGAGCUGGCGAAGGAGGUGAAGGAAGGUGAGUUGCGCGCUCUAGAGCCGGACCCGCACGGCAUCCCGUACGCCGUGAUUAUUCCGCACAACGACGUCGAGUUCAACAACUGCGCGAAGCACUUGCGCGACCUGAAAAGUGACUCGAAGCGCAACGCAGCAGCCAUCAGGGAGACGGUGGAUCGCAUGAACGACCGCGGCGCCGAGCUGGCGGAAGCGAUGCUGAAACAGGACCGCUCCUACCUGAAGCCGCAGGCGGCUGCCGUGCCACUCAAGUACCUGCCGUUGGACACCGACCCGCAGUUCAACCGGAUCGAGGUUGAGCGCGCGAAACUCAAGGCCCGCGACUCUGUGAAGAACGCCAAGAAGAUCCAAGCGCUCGAGGAUCAGCUGAACGAAAGGGCCAACCAGCUCGCUGAGGCGCAGAAGCAGGAGGAUCUCCGCGGGCUGGACCCCAAGCCAGAGGGUAUCCCGCUCUAUGUGAUUGACCCGCACUCCGACGCGAAGUUUGCCUCGUUUCUGCCGCAGCUGCGCGACAUGAAGGCGGACCCGAGGACGCGGCCGGAAGACCUGCAGCAGGUGGUGGACGCCAUGAACGACCGCGCUCACGAGCUGGCUAGCGAGAAGCUGCGCGGCGACCGACUCACCUAUCUGGAGGAAGAGCCGAAGGGCGUUCCGCUCGAUCUGCUCUCGCUGGACACGGAUCCGCAGUUCCACGACAUAGAGGCGCAGCGCGCUGUUCUCAAGGCGCAGGAUCCGCGCCGCAAUGCAGCCAAGAUCAGGGACUCGGAGGAUCGUUUGCGGGAGCGCUCGUACGAGUUGGCGGAACAGCAGCGCACGAAGGACCUGGAGAACCUCGACCAGGUGCCGGAGGGACUGCCCAUCACUCUAGUGAACCCACACGACGACCCGGCGUUCGCGAAGAUGGUGAACCAGCACCGGCAGCUGGCGAAGGACUCGGUGAAGGACUCGGCGAAGAAUUCGGAGCUGCUGACGAAGCUGGAAGAGAAAAUGAACGACCGCGCUCAUGAGCUGGCCAAGUUGAUGCUUGAGAGCGACCACUCGUUCCUGGACCCUGCGCCGCAGGACGUCUCGCUCGCAGAGCUGCCGCUCGACACAGAUCCGGAGUUCCGCAGACUGGAGGUGGAGCGAGCCAAGCUGAAGGCGCAGGACCAGCGCCGCAACGCCGCAAAGAUAAAGGAUAUAGAGGGCCAAAUGAACAAUCGUGCGCACGAGCUGGCUCGUGAGCAGCUUGCCGAGGACCUUCGCGGUGUCGACCCGGCCCCGCGCGGGCUGCCGGUGGAGUUGCUGAACCCGCACGCGGACUCCCAGUUCGCGGAGGCGGUAAAGCAGAUCCGCGUGCUGAAAAAGAGCCCCAUUGCCGACCCGAAGGCGAAGCUGGCGAUGCUGGACAAGAUGAACGCCCGCGUGCGCGCUAUGGCGGACGAGGCGAUGGACCGCGAUUACCUCGAUCCUGAGCCGGAGGGGGUGGCGCUUGCCGACCUGCCGCUUAGCAGCGAUCCGGAGUUCCACGACAUGGAAGUGGGGCGCGCCCGGCUGAAGCUGAGGGACCCGAAGCGCAACGCGCGCGCUAUCAAGGAUCUCGAGCAGCGGCUCAACGAUCACGCGCACGAGCUGGCGAGGAGGCAGCUGGAGGAAGACCUCGCCGGCUGCGACCCUGAACCUGAGGGAAUCCCUCUGGCGCUGUUGAAGCCGGCCGAGGACCCGAAGAUUGCCGGCAUGAUCCCGCAGCUGCGCGCGCUGAAAAAGGACCCGAAGAAGAACGCCGAGGCGAUUCGGCGUGUGGAGAACGAGAUGAACAACCGCGCCAACGAGCUGGCGCGUCAGUUGCUGGAGGGCGACCGCGGCUACCUCGAGCCGAAUCCGGAGAAUGUUGCGCUGGAGUACCUGUCGCUCGACAAGGACCCGGAGAUCGCCGAGAUGGAGGUGGAGCGGGCGAAGCUCAAGGCACAGGACCCGCGGCGCAACCAGCGCCGCAUUGCCGACCUCGAGGACAGGCUCAACGACCGCGCGGUGGAGCUAGCGGUCGCGAAGAAGGCGGAAGAACUAGCGCAUUUCGCACCCCAGUAUAACGGCAUCGAGACGGCGGCGAUGAGGCCAUACGACGACCCUGAGUUUGCGGCCCUUGUCGACCAGCUCCGGAAGCUGGAGAAGGCCAGCGCGGGUGCUUCCCCUGAGGCGGAGAAGGUGCUCACUGAUAUGGACGCGCGCCUAGAGGUGCUGGCAAAGGAGAAGGUCGAGGGCGACCUUUGGUUCCUGGACAAGGAGCCGGAGGGGAUCCCGCUGGAGGAGGUAGAGGUGGAGUUGGACCCUAUCUUCCAGCAGCUGCGGCAGGAGUGCGCCAACCUCAAGGCAAAGGACCCGCGCAGGAACGCCGACAAGGUCAAGAGCCUUGAAGACCAGAUGAGAAGCCGUGUGCACGAAUUGGCUAAGCACCUCAAGGAAAGCGACUUUGACGGCGUCGACACGAGCCCGCUGGGCAUUCCGCUGGAGCUGCUGCAGCCGCUUGAGGACCCGCAGGUGGCAAGGAUUCUGCCGGAGCUGCGUCGCGCCAAGAAGAGCUUGCGCGACACCCAGAGGGCGCAGGGUCUGCUAAACGAGCUAAAUGAGCGGAUCCACGAGCUAGCCAAGAAUGCGCUGAGUGGGGAUCGUUCGGCAUACUUGGACUCGGACCCGGCGGGUGUGCCGCUGUCGGACCUGCCACUGGAUACGGACGGCAUCUACAGCGGUCUCGAGGUUGAGCGCGCCAAGCUGUUGCUCAAGGACCUGGCCAAGAAUGCGAAGCAAAUCGAGGAUCUCGAGGAUCGCCUGAACGAGCGGGCGCACGAUCUGGCGCAGCAGGUGCUCAAGGACGACCUGAAGAACGUUGACCCGAAGCCGCAUGGCAUUCCUAUUGAAGCGGUGAGGCCACACAACAACCCGGACUUCCACAACCUCGCAACGCGCGCUCGCGAGCUCCGCAAGGAUUCACGCCGCAAUGCCGACAAGCUCGCCGCCAUUCAAGAGCAGAUGAACGACUUGGCGAACCAGAUGGCGGCGGAGAUGCUCGGCAAUGACCGUGGCUACCUCGACCCUGAGCCGGAAGGCGUGCCGGUGGAGAUGGUGCUGCUCGACGAGGACCCCGAGUUCCACGAGAUGGAGGUGCAGCGUGCAGUGCUGGUCGCGCAGGACCAGGUGAAAAACAGGCAGGCGAUCGCCGACCUCGAGGGGCGGCUCAACGAUUGCGCACACAAGCUGGCUGAGGCGCAGAAGCGGGAGGACUUGCGUGGCCUGAACAGCGCCCCGCUCGGGGUACCCGUGUCGCUGCUGAACCCUCAUGACGACCCGCGCUUCGCCGCGAAGCUGCCGGAGCUUCGGGCGCAGAAGAAGGAGGGCUUUCCGCGCGCCCAGUCGCGUCUGAACGACACGCAGGCGAAAUUGGAUGAGAUUCUCGAGGAGCUCGCCGCGCAGUACCUUGAGCAGGAUCGCGCGCGGUACCUGUACCCUACUCCAGAGGGCAUCCCGGUGGCGGCGCUCCCGCUGUGCGCGGACCCGGAGUUCCAUCAGCUGGAGGCGGAGCGACUGGACUUGAUCAGCAAGAACCCGAAGGCCAAUAAGGAUGCCAUUAAGGACCUGGAGGCAGCGCUGAACGAGCGUGCCUGCGAGCUGGCGCGAGAGCAUCGCAAGGGCGACCGGGGCUACCUCAACGCUGAGCCGCUCGGCAUUCCGCUUGACGUGCUGCCGCUUGACACGGACCGCCAGUUCAGCGAUCUGGAGGCGAAGCGUGCGGCGCUGAAGACGAAGGAUGCGGUCAGGAAUGCCGCCGCAAUUCACGACCUGGAAGAUCAGCUGAACGACCGCGCGAACCAGCUCGCAGAGGACCAGAUCACCGAGGACUUGCGCGCGGUUGAUCCGACGCCGGAGGACAUCCCGGUGCGGAUGCUGAAGCCGCACGACGAUCCCGAGUUUGCGCGGAUGGUGAACGCGCUGCGCUUGCUCAAGGCAGACCCGUCGGCAGACCCCAAGAAGGUGUCGGACCUGGAGCAGGACAUGAAUGACCGCGCGCACGAGCUGGCGGAGGAGGCGCUUGCGGGCGACCGCCCGAUGUACCUCGAUCCGAAGCCGGAGGGCAUUGCGAUCGAGUCGCUGCCGCUCGACUCCGACCCGCUCUAUCACCGGCUGGAGGUCGAGCGCGCGAAGCUGAUGCUGCAGGAACCCAAGAAGAACCAGGCGAAGGCUGCUGAGCUCGAGGGCCGCCUCAACGACCGGGCGCACGAGCUGGCAAAGGAGCAGCGAGCGCGCGACCUGCAGGACUUGGACGAGGCACCGCGUGGCAUACCGGUGGACCUGCUGAAUCCGCAUGAAGACGAGACGUUCGCGUCGCUCGCGUUCCAGCGCCGUGACCCGAACAACACACUGAGGAAGGCGCUCGACAUCGGCGGCACCAACGGCGACCCGACGCGCGACAUGCUCAACGAACGGCUAGACGAGAUGGCCAAGCAGAUGCUGGAGGGCGACCGCGACUACCUGGACCCCAAUCCGGAGGGCGUGCCGCUGCGUGUGCUACCGCUCAACGAGGACCCGGAGUUCCACGAGAUGGAGGUGCAGCGUGCGGUGCUGAAGGCGAAGAACGCGAAGAAGAACGCGGUGGCCAUCAAAGACUUGGAGGACAAGCUGAACGACCGCGCUCACGACCUGGCAAAGGACGCUUUAAAUGGCGACCGCGGCUACCUCGCCCCUGAGCCAAGGGGCGUGCCUCUGGCGGAUCUGCCACUCGACAAAGACCCGCAAUUCCACCAGAUGGAGGUGGAGCGGGCCAAGCUGAAGGCGCAAGACCUGACGAAGAAUGCCAACAAGAUCAAGGACCUGGAGGACAAGCUGAACGACCGCGCCGAAAAUCUCGCUGAGGUGCAGAAGAAGGAGGAUCUCCGCAACCUGGACGGCAAGCCGCGCGGCAUUCCGCUGGAGUCGCUGAAUCCGCACGAUGAUGCAGAGUUCGCGUCCCACUUGCCCGAGCUGCGUCGGCUGAAGAACGAGCAACCGAACCACCCCAAGAUCAAGGACCUCCAGGCGAAGCUGGACAACCGCGCAGAUGAGUUGGCCAAGGCUCAGAUCGACCGCGACCGCGCCUUCCUGGAUCCUGAACCGGAGGGCAUCACGUUGGCUCAGCUGCCGCUUGACAGUGACAAGCUCUUCACGAGCCUGGAGAAGCAGCUACGUCAGGCGAAACAGGACCUGAAGCGCAACGCGGACAAGAUUACUGACCUGCAGGAUUGUAUGAACAAGCGCGUGCACGAGCUGGCGCUCAACCUGCUCAAGGGUGACCGCCGCUACCUCGAUCCCGAGCCGGAGAAUGUGCCGAUCGCCGAUGUGCCGAUCGACGCCGAUGCGAUGUUCCGCGAGUUGGAGGCGCAGCGCGCGAAGCUGAAGGAGGACCCGAAGCGCAACGCGGAUAAGAUCAAGGACCUGGAAGGCAAGCUGAACGACCGCGCGCACGAGCUGGCCAAGGCUCAAAAGGAGGCGGCUCGCGGCUUUCUCAACCCCACCUCGCACCGCGUGCCGAAGGCGCUACUGCCGUUGGACGAGGAUGCGGCGUUCGUAAAGAUGGAGCAGCAGCUGCGGCGCCUCAACAAGGACCCGAAACGCAGCGCUAGCGCCAUCGACAACCUCAAGGGCAUGAUGCAGGACCGUGCCGACGAGCUGGGAGAGAACUUGCUGAAGGGCGCCCGCGACAAGUACCUCGACCCCAACCCGGAGGGCGUGCCGGUCGGUUAUCUGCCGCUGGACUCCGACCCGCAGUACAGCCACGCGGAGCUGCAGCGCGCCGUCCUCAAGGCCCAGAACGCGAAGGGUAACGCAGCCAAGAUCGCCGACCUGGAGAAGGUGCUGAACGACCGGGCCGCUGAACUCGCCAAGGAGCAGCGUCAGAAAGACCGCGCCUUCCUGGACCCGGAGCCGGAGGGUAUUCCAAUCGCCGACGUGCCACUAGAUGACGACCCGAAUUUUCUGCGACUGGAGGACUACUUACGCAAGCUCAAGAAGGACCCCCGACGCAACGCCGACGCCAUCGCCGACACACAAGAGAGCAUGAACGACCGGGCCCACGAGCUGGCGAAGGGCGUGGUGGCCGAGGACCUCGCAUGCCUGCCGCGGGCGGCGUACCGUGGCAUCCCGAAGGAGGACCUGAACCUCCACACGUACCUGAAGUUCCGCGACGCGGCGAACCGGCGGCGCGACGCAAAGCGCCGCCGUCUGCCGACGACGGACAUACGGCUCAUCGAGGAUGAGAUGGACAGGAUCGCCAGCGAGAUCGCCGAUGACGUGAUCGACAGCGAGCGUGCCUUCCUGGAUCCUGAGCCGGAAGGCAUGGCCAUCGCCAACGUCCCACUCGAUGCGGACAAGGAGUUCGCCGCCCUCGAAGCCGAGCGCCGGCGCCGCUCCAAGGACCCGCGUGCGGCAAAACGCAACAAGGACGUCAUUCGCGACUUGGAGAACCAGAUGAGCGACCGCGCGCACCAGCUGGCGAAGGAGGAGUUCGCGAAGCAGCGCGACUUCAUGGAUCAGGAGCCGGAGGGCGUGCCGCUGGAGCGGCUGCCGCUCGACACGGAUCCGGAGUUCAAGGACGCGGAGAUUGCGCGCUACAAGGCCAAGACGGACCCGAAGGCGGACCCGAAGAAGGUGGCGGCGUUGGAAAAGCGCAUGAACGACCGAGCCCAUGAGCUGGCCAAAGUCGAACUGGCGAAGGACCGUGCCUUCCUCGACCCUGAGCCGGAGGGCGUGCCACUGGCGGACCUCCCGCUCAGCGACGACCCGGAGUUCAACGUACUGGCGAAGCAGCGUCAGGCGCUGAAGAACACCAGGAGGGGCCGCGACCCCGAAAUGAAGGACCUGGAGGAGAGGAUGAACGACCGUGUCCACGACAUCGCAAGGGAGUUCCUCAGCAAGCACCGCGGCUACCUGAACCCGGAGCCGCAGAAUGUACCCAUUGCCGACAUCCCCCUCAACCGCGACCCGAUCUUCCGCGAAAUGGAGAACGAGCUGUUGAAGGCUAUGAAGGACCCCCGCAGCAAUGCGGGCAAGAUUGCAGAGCUGCAGGACGACCUCAACAACCGCGCAGACGACCUCGCGAAGGACCUACGGCGCAAGGAGCUUGCUAAUCAGGAGCAGGAGCCUCUCGGCGUGCCGCUGGAAGAGCUGCCACUCAACUACGACCCGAUCCUCAAUCCACUGGAACGCAAGCGCCGCGACAUCAAGAAAAACCCGAAGCGGAAUGCCGAUGUGCUGCGCAACCUCGAGCGGGAGAUCGCCGCGCGCAUCGAUGACAUCGCGCGCGACUUUCUGGCGAAGGAGCGUGCUUUCCUGGACCAGGAACCGGAGGGGGUGCAAUUGGAGCGCCUGCCGCUGUCAGAUGACAGGGAGUUUCACGAAAUGGAGAGGGACCUGCGCGCGCUGAAGAAGCAACCAGCAAAGAACAGGGACGCCAUCGAGGACCUCGAGGAACGCAUGAACGACCGCGCACAUCACCUGGCCAAGGACUAUCUCGCGAAGGACCGCGACUACCUCGAGAAAGAGCCGCUCGGUGUGCCGGUGGAGGAGCUGCCGCUUAACGAGGACGUGACCUUCCGCGAUGCGGAGGAGAAGCGGCGGGCGCUGAAGAGGGAUCCGCGUGGCAACGCAAAGGCGAUCAAGGAUCUGGAGGAUCAGCUGAACGACCGCGCCGAGCAGCUGGCACAGCAGAAGCUGGACAAGGAGCGCGCCUUCCUCGACCCCAGGCCGGAGGGCAUUCUCCUGAAGGACAUGCAGCUGGACAGGGACAAGGCGUUCAAGGACAUGGAGAGGCAGCUGCGGCAGCUGCGCAAGGACCCGCGCAAGAACGCAAACGCGAUUCGGGACAUGGAGGAAGACAUGAACAGCCGCGCCCACGUACUGGCAAAGCGCCAGUUGGCGGACGACCGGAACUUCCUCAACCCGGAACCGCGCGGUGUGCCGCUAGUCGACCUCGCCCUCGAAGAUGAUCCGGAGUUCCGAAAGACGGAGCUGGCGCGUCGCGAGGCCAAGAGAAACCCAAAGAACGCUGACAGGGUGCGCGAGCUGGAGAGCAUUCUGAACGACCACGCCGACCGCAUCGCCGGCGAGUACCUCAAGAAGGACCGCGCCUACCUCGACCCCGAGCCGGAGGGUGUGCCGUUGGAGGAGCUGCCGCUCGACACGGAUCCGGACUUCCACGGCAUGGAGGUGGACCGGCGCAAGCUAAACAAGGACCCUGCAAAGAACUCCAGGACCAUCAAGGAUCUCGAAGAGCAGCUCAAUAACCGUGCGCGCGAGCUGGCCAGGGACAAGAAGGGCUACCAGGACCCGGUGUUCCAUGAGGCAAACGAGGAUAUAGCCGAGCAGUGGCCGCGCAUUCGCGAGCUGUACCCGGAGGGUGUGUACGAUCCGGUGACGCCGGACACCACACUGCCGUCGGACAUCUCGUCCGCCCCGCAGGACAUGGGCUUCCUCGCCCCGUUCAUCGCGGCCUUGGCGCGUCACACGGUGCUCAUCUCUCGCCUCUUCCAAGACAAGGCGCACCCGCAGAACCAGCCCUACCGCGUGACGCUAUUCAACCCGGACAGCUCGCCGGUCACAGUGGAAGUGGACGACCGCGUGCCGUGCGACGACAAGCGAGAGCCGAAGUUCACACAAGUGCCGUCACGCAUGUGGUACCCGCUGCUGCUGGAGAAGGCGUACGCCAAGUUCGUCGGCGGCUACGAGAACUUUAACAACUGCAAUGCCCACGAUACGCUGCGCGAUUUGACGGGCCGCCCGGUGCUGCACAUUUCUCUCGAGGACCCGAAGCACGCUGCGGCGACGAACAUGGGCGACUACACGACGCCGGCCUUCUGGCGCCGUGUCAUGGAGGACCUCGACCGCGGUGACGUGUUUGUGUGCGUGGCGAACGGCAACGUGCCAGAUGGCCUGCAUCCGCAGUGCAGCUACGCGCUGAUGGACGUGGUGGAGGUGAAGCCAUGCACAAGCGAUCCGUUGGAUAUCGUGAUCAAGGUGCACAACUGCUACACGGAUGCCCCGCAUUACAACGGCCCGCUGCGCAAGGGCGACAGCAACUGGACGGCGGAUGUGAAGCGAGCGUGCAGCUUCUCGCCCGACGAGAGCGACAUGAUCUACAUGCCUUUGUCCACCUUUCUCAACAACUUCAGCUGCAUGCAGCGCUGCCAUAUCAACUGUGGGGAUCGCCUCAGCUCUCCUGGUGAGUGGAACAAUUAUACGGCUGGUGGCACGUCCAAGUACACGACCUUCCGCAGUAACCCCAUCUACCUCGUAGAGAACAAGACGUCGCGACCAGCCACGAUCCUCGCCGAGGUGCGCCACACGAACCCGCUCUACGUGGACGAGACGAACUGUAAGCAGUACCCCUACACCGGGCUCACUCUCAUGCAGCCAUCGAAUGCAAAGCUGCCGCCAACGCCGUUUAUAACGAAUGGCACGCACAAGUUCCUGCAGAAGGGCAUGAUGCUGGACUCGCGCGAAGUGUGCGCCGAGAUGGAGCUGCCGCCCAGUUCGACGUGCUACCUUAUCCCGUACACUAAAGACCGCGGCACGAUGGGCGAGUUCUUCGUCUCCAUCUACCCGGACAUGGCCAAGGUCACACUGACGCCACUGCGACACGCUGGCCUCACUUUGAAGCCGCUCCGCACCAGCCUCAGCCUGCAUCCCGGCGACGAAGAGGGCGAGCGGCUGGAUUUUAUGGUGAACGAUGCGAGCGACGUGCACAUCCUACUGCACCAGACGAAAAUAUCGGACCCAAACAGCAUCCGCAAGGGCGAUGCCGUGGCCGAGGACGAGGUGACCAUGACGGUCUUCAACGAGUACGGUAUCAAGAUCGGCACAACAGGCGAUUCGAGCAACGCGCGCGAGCACGCGCUCAUCUUCAAGGCCCCGCAAGGCGGCCGCUACGCGUUGCUCGUGAACUGCACGGCGUCUGCCACCGGGGGCCCAUGCACGGCGAACCUGGAGAUCUACACGCCAACGGACGUGAGCGCCGACUUUGUGCCGGUCGCGCCGGACGCGAAGCCGCUGAACGCACAGGCGCAGUCGCGCUUUCCCACGCUGUCGCGCACGGCGACGGCCCCAGGCGCGUCGCGUGGUGCCAGCCGCACUGGAAGCAACGUGCGCCGCACUGACUCUCUGCCGCCGAUCAACCAACGGUCUGUCAGCAGCCGUCGUGGCAGCCGCGAAGAAGCCGGGCACCGCUCCAGCCGCGGCCGCCGUUAAAACAACAGCACUGCAGCUGAGGUGAGGAUAGGCAGGGGGGUGCAUCAGGAGGCUCUGCGAAGGCGGAUAUCAGGGUGAGGGAGUAGUUAUCUCUCUUCCUCUAUCGUUUCCAGUGACUCUGAUCGCCAGGACUCCUUGCCGCUGGCGAGUCCCUUCUGCGGUUGAGCUCCUCUUCUUACGUGGUGAUGCCGCCGUUACGCUCUUUACUGCGUUGCUGCCGGCGUGCGCUUUAUCGGUGUGUAUGCCCACGAGCACGGUAUUUGGUGCAACCGUUGGGAUGCUCUGCCUGUUGUCUGACAGAAGGCACCGUACGUCUCUUUACGUGUAUGCAUACUUACGUCUAUUUGUAUAGAUGCGUAUGUGUGUGUGUCUUUGCCCCCCCCCAGCGCCGAAAAAAAAAGGAGUACUUCCUCUCCUCCAGGUGUUCUCUCUCUUCGCGUCGAAGGUGAAAAGGUUCAUAGCGGUCACGGUGCCUGCGCCUUCCUUACACGCAUAUGGGCGUGUGUUUGUUUUGCUUUCCCUGCUCGGUGUUGGUUUCACGCACCGAUGGGCGUGUAGCACAUGCCGUAUGCAUAUACAUAUAUAGAUGUAGAGAUGUGUGUAUAUGGGCCAUAUCUCUGUUCUUUGUUUUCGUUGUGCAUUAUUGUUACUAAUUUUUGGAUUUUGUCCGCUUCCUCUUAUUGUAUGUUCCUCUCGCUACACAAGGAGCGUAACGAACGGAAAAGAGAGCCCCCAAAAAAAAACGGGGCUCGGGGGGCCGCUCUGUGAUGGAUGACAAGUGCUUAGCCAGAGGAGGGAGAUCGUGUCCGAACCACUUGCUCACUCGGCGUUGACGCGCGUUAUAUAUAUAUAUAUAUGCCUUUUGUUUUUUUUUUUCGCAGGUCUGGUCAAUCAGAGGAAAAGGGAAAGAUCAGGAGGUGAACCGUGAUACGCGUCGCACACAUACCCGCACACGUACGUGCGGAAGUACACAGCGCUGAGUACGACGAUUGCCAAUGCUGCAGCAUAUAUAUAUUUAGCUUUUUUUUCGUCUCAUUAUGGUGCUUGCUCGUUGCAUGUGUGUGCGCGCUGACCGUUUCUGGUCGUUGCUGGUCUCCUCGUCUCUUCCUCGUCCUUUUCGCACUAUUCUGGUAUUUACUCUUUACGCCCGUUUUGCUUCUUCUUUUCGGAGUCGCCUCUCUGCGAACGUCUGUGCUGAUGUGAGUUUGGGUUAUCGGUUAGCCGUGUGCUCUGCGGUUCAGCUCCGCCGCCCCCCUUUAUACCUCAUUCUCGGUGCCUACUUCUCUCUGUGCGCACCUACGCGCGCAGAUCCGCGUACUUUUUUCUUCCUUUUGGAUCGUGCGCUUGUGGCGUCUAGAGAGGGCGUGUGAGAACCGCAUUUUCAUUCGUUCAUUCUUUUUGUGACCCAGCAUUUCAUUUAUGGUGUGCACACACUCGAAGUUUAUCGUCUCCGUCGUUUUCUCCUGGCUUUCCCGGGUGUCGAACACCGCCAGCCACCCGCAAGCACAAGGGCGAAGAUGGCGCUCUGCCGUCGUGCGCAAGAGCGGAGUCCGCCGAAAGAAGCGAAAAGCACUCAAAACACCUGCGUAGCGACACAGUGCGAAAAGAAGACUGACUUAACGAUGAACAAAGGCAGCGGUGUAUACAGCGUGACGGAGUAGAACAACGCGACGACACGUUCAAGAACGCGCCACUCGGUUCCUCUCUUCUUCUCUCUUGCACGUCCCACCAUCAGCGCUUGCCUGUUUUGUUUUGUCUUUUUGUCAGCUGAAACACGGUGUAACUAGAAGAUAACGCGAUCGGUGCUGCCCAUGCCUCCCCUGAUCUUUUCAUGGGCGUCCAUGGCAUCCCUACCAGCGCCAACAGUCGGGCAGCGAGAGACGAAGUAAAGGACACAAAGCAAGCAACGAAGACAAAACGGUAAAAGGGCGCAUUCGCAAGCCGCAGAGCCUCUCUUUUUUUGUUUUGUGUGCGACCCCUCCUUUUCCUGCCCCUUGUCGUUCUUUUCUCGCGUGUGCGUAUGUGUGCAUGUUUCUCUCUUCCUACCUCUCGAACUUUUUUCGUGUGUUUGUGUGUGCUGAGCUUGUGCGCGGCAUCGAGAGACAGAAGGGCGUAUGUGAGCGAGCGCGUUUCUGUGCGCACAAGUGCCGCCACUUUCUCCAUCGACGGGGAGGGCGCCCUUUGAUGACGUCUUCUGUUUCCAUCUGCGCCUCCCUCCCCUUCCUCCUCCUCCUCUCCCCCUCCCCACUCCCAAUCACCACAACACUCCGAGGAAAAAGAACCAACCGAAGAAACCGAAAUGUGGCCUCUCUGUGUGUUGCACGCUGUCGCUUGCACGUAUGCUUUCGGGUUCGCUUUCCUUCGCAUUCCCGACCGUCUCCCUGCUCUGCCGCUGUUACGGCUGUUAAUGGCGCUAUGCUUGUGGUGAUGCAGGUGGCCCCCUCGUCCGUUGGCUCGGUGGAGACAUACAUACAGAAAACACAAAAGAAAAAUGGAGGACGCCGCUGCCGAUUUGCUGCCUCGUGUCUGCGCUGUCCCUCUCCCCUACCCUUCUUUUUUUUCCGGGCAGAGUCUCUUGCGUGGAUUUCGUGCUCGCGUAAUCGGUGGCGAGGACAAGAGCAGGAGACCCACUCGAUCGGAGUUCGCGGAACGAAAAGCAUAAAACGAAAAAGACAGAGGCGAUCCGCAGCACACGUUACUUUCCAUUUAACUCUCGAACCCGCGAUGUCGUCUUCACAGAGGACAUCGAUGGACAAGGGAGCCACGCGGAGAUGACCUCACCGCAGGCUCUCCCUUCACACGUUCUGGUUCGUCUCGACAAACGUUGACAGCUUUUUUGUGUGUCUUGAGUGGAUGGCAUCAAGGGUGCUUGCCGAUUUCCUUCCUCUUCUUUUAUGUGUCUUUUGAUCACACCAUAUCUCCCUCCUCCUCUCCUUCUCCCACCUACACCCCUUAUUUUGGUUUCAAGGCGCGUAGCCUUGCGCAUGCGUGUGUGUGUGUGUGUACGCGUGUGCACCGCUCCCCGCCAUGUGGGAUAUCUGGCAUGUCUCCGUCUCUUCUUGUCUUUGUCUUUAUCGCUCUUCGGUCAGUCUCUGCAUAUAUGUAUCUUUCUUGUUUUUUUUUUUUGGCAGCGGAGAACGUCAGUGCACUCGACGAAUGGGCCCCGCCACGUCCUCUCUCCUGGGUCUCUCUCGCACUCGCCGCACUCGCACACGUGAACGUUCGAAUGACGCCGGCCGCGACGACGCGGAGGAAAAGAGAGAAGACAAAACGGUGCCUGAAUACGUGCGGUGUGAGAGCGGCAGACUGACAGCAGCAAAAAAAAAGGCCGCAGCCGUGCUGUCGGUGCUUUUGUGUUUUUCUUUUCACGUGUGUGUGGGGGGUGGGUGGGUGGGUGGGUGGGGGUGGACAGUGCGUCGUACGUCACGCUGCUCGCCGUAGUCCUACCUCUUCUUAUGUCUCGGAGUCUUUCUAUGUGCACUUUCUUAGUCACGUUUCAGUUUUGCUGAUGAUUUUUCUUUUUACUUCCAUGUGAAGCGUGUGCGCAUUCACAUGCACACACACACACACACACAUGCACGUGCUCAUCCAAAUCCUGGCAGCUCAUGACCCCCUCACUCCUUUUCUGUCUUUCUGCAUCUUCGAGUACCUCUUCUGGGGAAAAACAGUGGACUUGAGAGGUGCAGAGUGGGCGAGGGGGCGCUGUGCGGAAGGUAGAUAGAAGGCAGCAUCAUAAGAAUACGUGGAUGUUGUUUCGCUGUUGUUGAGUUGCUUCAGAAUAACAGAAGAGACGCGUGCGCGUAUUCGCUCACCUGUACGCAGCUCUCCACACAGCCCUUUCACAUGCCACGACACUGGCCACACCGAGAAAAGUCAUGGUAGGUGUACUGUCUUGGGGAGGCAGUACGCCGAACACCAAUCUUAUGCCAUGACGCGAAGAAUGUGAAGGGCAGCAGCGAUCCGUCGAUCUUCGCUGAAUGUGGCGCGCUGUGGCGUUCUGAUCUCUUUUUGUGUUGCUGAGUGUCUGUGUAGAUCGUUGGCAAGUGGCGUCGGUACUGCCCCAUUUCUUCUGUGUUCAAUGCUGCGCCGCCUCUCUCUGACUCCCUCUCUCAUCGGCACCGUCUAGGGAGUCAGGAGGCGCUUGAUGGUUCUUUCGUUUUGCAUGGCAAGUCCUCUUGUUUUUGUUGCUUUCCGUUACGUUUUUUUCUGUUGUUGUGUACGUGUCUCAUCUUUUCCCUUGUGUGCAUAUUAUUGUAGAUCCGUCUUUGUUUUUCUCUUGCGAUGCCGUCUGUGUCUGUGGGGGAGGGGGAGGGAGAACAGAUCCGCAGUUUCAAUUUUUUUUUCGUUCUUGCUGCGGGCGGCUCAGGCGCGACGCUGCGAGCUCCUUCCAGCUCACUUCUUUACCACUCGAUGCUGAAAUGUUCACCACAACUGAUGUCGCUGCCUUCGUUAAAUUUUUUUUUACGUAUGUGCCGCACCUCAUCUGCCAGAGGGUGGCGCAGGUUGCGCCUCUGGUUGACGUCAGUCUGUGGAGGGGAUGAGCAUUCUCACUCUUCUUUCGGGCUGGUGUGUAUGUGUCGGUGUGUGGUCGCAACCCUCUCCACGGUUUUCUGCCCCCUCUUCCCACCCCCACCUGUUUCCUGUCGACUUUUUUUUUCGUCCUUCUAUUGUGCAUUAUGUUUUUUCCGUUGUGCUAUCUAUCUAUAUAUGUAUACUGUGUGACUGCGUGUGUGUGCAUGUCUCCUCCUCUCCCCACCCCUCUCCCUUCCUUCCUCUUUGCCCCAGCGUGUCUCUCCCUCUUUUCAUCUCUACAUCCUCCACGUCUUUCUUUUGGCUGUUGGUGAUGACGUGCCUGUCCUCCGUUCCGUUCCUUCUUUUCACUUUUCUUAUACAUCGCUGGUCCUUUACGUUUCUCGUCCCUCUUCUUCCUGCCCCCUUCCCCCUGUCGCAUGGCCAUUCUUCUGUCUUCUCUCUCGCCAUCUUGACGCAAAUGCAUUCUUGGCACUUCCGUCGAGGAUGGGCGUAACGGGGACGUACUGUAGCGCAUCCGCCUCCUUCAGCCGCGCUAGUGGUGGUUAAUAGUGACUCGCGUUGAUGUCAUGCUCCUCAUGCACAACGUAGCAGCGUGUUGUCGUCGAGUGAGUGGUGGAGAGGGUGAGAAGCAUACAAGACACAGGGGAGAGAAGAGAAAGAGAGACGUGUGCAGCCGAUUCGCUACGAAGUGUUUUUUUUUCCCGUGUGCAUCUCCUCUCUUCCGCCCUUUCGUGGCCUCCCUCGAACCCCUGACUUCACCGUCUGCAUCCGCGUACGCGCGGGUCUGCGUCUUGUGGUGUCCCUCGCUUCGCCUUUUUCUCGUUGUUGCCGCUUCAUUGUUUUUCCUUUUUGUUGCGUUCUGUUCAUCUUUUCUGUCCAUCACGGCCGCUUCUCAUAUUGAGAAGGAAUGAAAAAAAGAAAACGCAGGUGAUGCGCUACCCAAUGUGCGCCUCCACUUGGUGUGGCAGCGUGCCGCUGUGCGUGUGUCUGUGUGUGCCGUCCAUCAAUGUGCGACGGAGAGCGCGCAGGCUUCCAACGCACGAGCUGUUUAUGCCCUUCCCCCCCCCCCCCCCCCGAACCUUCUCUACUGAGGCCGCUGGAAUAG